AGGUCAUGUCUACUGAACCUAUAUCACGGUAGGCACUCGGCCAUGCUGUGGGUGCGAAAGCACCUUAGACGUUUAUCGUCGGGAGUGUGGCGUGAGGCGGGGUUGAAUGCCCU
Paenibacillus sp. DMB20 is the source of this 113-nucleotide non-coding RNA. Lineage: Bacteria; Bacillati; Bacillota; Bacilli; Caryophanales; Paenibacillaceae. The record is from Rfam.